UUAGAAUCCACUUCAUCAUCCGCUUCUGCCAUCUUUCGUUUCACCAGCUCUCCCACAUCUCUUCUUUGGUAUAAUGGCGUUCGCAACAAUUAUGAUAAGUGAUGAGAAUGACCCUUUGUAUCUAGUAGGAGUACGGUUUGUUAAUGAAGAGCAGCUGAGCAGAGUACCAAUCUUGAAGAAACCAUUUAAGUUAUCCAAACUGGUGGAGAGAGUGCUUGGUAAAGUGAGGGAUGUGAGGAUCACGAGAGGCGGGCGAGUUUAGAUUUUUUUGUGCUUCUGCGGAUUAGAGGGAACGUGCGUUGUGUCUUAACCAAUUUGAUAAGUUUGAAGUGUUGUUUGUGUCUCUUCAGAAUAGGGCAUCCCUCAAGGGGGUUAUAUCUGGCAUCUCGUGGGAAGUCGAUUUUGAAGAGAUGAAAAAUAUUCCUGGAGUGAUUGAAGCACUUCGGAUGAAUCGUGUGGUGAAUGGUGAAAAAGUGAAGAGUCUAUCUGAUCUUUUUGUUUUUUGGAGUCGCCCCUACUCAAGUGCAGUUGGGGUAUAUAAACUACAAAGAUAUGUUGCAAUUGUGGUGGGAACCAUGAAGCCACGUCUUUCGAAUGCCCCGCAAGAGUGAAAGAGAAUGAGGUGGCCAAAGUCAGGGCUGUCCAGAGCUUUUCAUAUGCAGCAGCUGUUAAAAGGGUUGAGGGUUUGAAUGGUGCACCAGAAGAGUCCAUGGUGGUGGAUAGGCCUUAACUGCAAGCUGCAGGGGUUGACUUUCACCAGCAGGAGCCAGACAUUUUAAAGGUUUAGAAGAUGGCCUAUGGUGAUAAAUGCCACUGCCAAGGUGGAGAGCAGGUCCAGGAAGAUAGAAAUCAUUGUGGAUGCGGCAGAGCGAUUCCUGGCGCUGAAAGAUUUCUUGGUGAAGGAGCUACAUGGAAUAUAUUCAAAAGCAGUACCACCCUCUCGGGCCCUACAGCCUGAGAAGGAAGAUAUGGAGAUUUGAAAGAAAGAAGGAAGAAGUGGGAGUUUUGUUUUGUCAAUGUACUCUGUUUAUUUGGGUGGAUUAAGUUCGUUUCCCAAUUACGUAUGGAUUUUCUUUGUACCUUGUUUAGGUUUCAACCUGUCCAGUUCGUGGCGGCAAUACACCUUUUUGGGUUGUAGACCACCAUAAACCCCACAGAAGCAGAAGAAGAAUACAAACAAAGAAGAUCGAUACAUCUAAACUGUCCAUUUUCAUCCCCUGGCAUAUUCAUUUGAACCUUUUCGUCAUUGUCCCUUAGUAGUACUUUCAGGUCCUUUUGCGAAGAUAAUGUAGUUGUAGACAGAUUACACUACAGGCUGAACAAUUGCGAGUGGUACACUUGUGGCAACUGCACUGUGAUGCCCACGGUCACAGUGUUAAUAUGUUGCAAAUAAGCAGCCCUACAUGACCUGGGUGCAGUGGCGGUUCUUGACCAUUUCAACUGGGGGGGCCAAGCUGGGGCCAGUUGUACUGUUAAAGGGGCCAGUUACAUUAGACGUUAUUGUUGUCAUAUCGUUUUCUUCACUGCAUUGCAGGCAUUAGCAGGCAAAAGACCAUGUUCAUAAUCAUUAGUGUUCCGAGUUGCCACUGUCUAAUGACGGAUGUAAAAAAAAAAGGAUAGCAAAAAUGUGUUAUUUUAAAAUUAUUUCAUACUCCACAUUUAGGGGGGCCACAAGGGGGUCCAAAAUUGUUGUCACAGGGGCACUGGCUAAAUGUCUUUAAGCAAUUUAAUUUAUUCCACCAAGGCUGCCUCUCGAGCUGUUCUCAUUUUAGGUAUGACGUCUCUCCCUGUAGAGUGCGCACGCGAGCACCUUUUCAAGUUCACAACUAUUGUAAAGAACUAAUGGAAACUCAGGGGGGGAAAGCGAGUUAAAAUCAUGGUCAGUGAUCUUAAGGUCGGAAAGUCUAGGAAAGUGCCAGAGUUUCCGACUUGGAAUUCCGAGUCCGAUGACAGUUCAAAAUGAUUUUUCCCAGUCAGAGCUAGUUUUUUUUGGCUAGUUUUCAGUCGUCAAAACGCACUGAAGGUGGAAGUCUGAGAUUUCAUAGUUCCCAGUUGUUUUGAACCUCGGCAUAAGUUAUUGGCGCUCCUGGCUCUUAGUACAAAACAGUGGUUCCUUUCCUGUGCGUUGAUGAACAGACCUGAGCCCUAGGACCAUGCCUCAGGACUACCUGGCAUGAUGACUCCUUGCUGUCCCCAGUCCUGGCCGUGCUGCUGCUCCAGUUUCAACUGUUCGCCUGCGGCUAUGGAACCCUGACCUGUUCACCGGACGUGCUACCUGUCCCAGACCUGCUGUUUUCAACUCUCUAGAGACAGCAGGAGCAGUAGAG
Molecule: long non-coding RNA, 2327 nt
Filed under: Salmo salar (Atlantic salmon)
Lineage: Eukaryota; Metazoa; Chordata; Actinopteri; Salmoniformes; Salmonidae
Description: lncRNA (ENSSSAG00000118391.1)
Source: RNAcentral